AGUGAACGCUGGCGGUAGGCCUAACACAUGCAAGUCGAACGGCAGCACAGUAAGAGCUUGCUCUUACGGGUGGCGAGUGGCGGACGGGUGAGGAAUACAUCGGAAUCUACUUUUUCGUGGGGGAUAACGUAGGGAAACUUACGCUAAUACCGCAUACGACCUACGGGUGAAAGCAGGGGAUCUUCGGACCUUGCGCGAUUGAAUGAGCCGAUGUCGGAUUAGCUAGUUGGCGGGGUAAAGGCCCACCAAGGCGACGAUCCGUAGCUGGUCUGAGAGGAUGAUCAGCCACACUGGAACUGAGACACGGUCCAGACUCCGACGGGAGGCAGCAGUGGGGAAUAUUGGACAAUGGGCGCAAGCCUGAUCCAGCCAUACCGCGGGGUGAAGAAGGCCUUCGGGUUGUAAAGCCCUUUUGUUGGGAAAGAAAAGCAGCAGGUUAAUACCCCGCUGUUCUGACGGUACCCAAAGAAUAAGCACCGGCUAACUUCGUG
This 491-nucleotide ribosomal RNA is filed under the name uncultured bacterium. RNAcentral's name for it is "partial 16S ribosomal RNA". It matches the Rfam family "Bacterial small subunit ribosomal RNA", at positions 29 to 507 of the family's 1533-position model. The record is from RNAcentral.